RNAcentral lists this ribosomal RNA (468 nucleotides) under Serratia sp. (in: enterobacteria). RNAcentral describes it as "bacterial SSU rRNA". It matches the Rfam family "Bacterial small subunit ribosomal RNA", at positions 815 to 1292 of the family's 1533-position model. The record is from RNAcentral. Lineage: Bacteria; Pseudomonadati; Pseudomonadota; Gammaproteobacteria; Enterobacterales; Yersiniaceae.
AUUUGGAGGGUGUGCCCUUGAGGCCUGGCUUCCGGAGCUAACGCGUUAAAUCGACCGCCUGGGGAGUACGGCCGUUACCCGAAAACUCAAAUGAAUUGACGGGGGCCCGCACAAGCGGUAGGUCGCUUCUCUUUGGUUACGCCAUUGUAACCCGUGUGUAGCCCUUCUCGUUUGGUGCCUUCGGGAACUCUGAGACAGGUGCUCCGUGGCUGUCGUCAGCUCGUGUUGUGAAAUGUUGGGUUAAGUCCCGCAACGAGCGAAACACUUAUCCUUUGUUGCCAGCGGUUCGGCCGGGAACUCAAAGGAGACUGCCAGUGAUAAACUGGAGGAAGGUGGGGCGGAAUAAAAUGGAGGAAGGUGGGGAUGACGUCAAGUCAUCAUGGCCCUUACGAGUAGGGCUACACACGUGCUACAAUGGCGUAUACAAAGAGAAGCGACCACCCUUUCUCCAAAGAAAUUUUUCAAAGA